AUAAUUUACCCAAAUAUGAUCGGUCAAAUACAAAUGUAUGCAACCGUACAACUAGCUGAAACUGUAUUACAACAGUUGGCGCAUGAGUUACAAAAUGUUGAAAUGGAUACACCAAGCUAUUCGCCGGUCAGCAAUAUAUUCAGCACGUGAUGGAUUUAAUCAGCCUAAGGAUGAUAUUUUAGCUAAGGUAAUUUAUAUAUAAACAUAUUU
Long non-coding RNA from Acyrthosiphon pisum (pea aphid), 210 nucleotides. RefSeq lists it as uncharacterized. The transcript is spliced from 2 exons. The record is from RefSeq and is a predicted model, not a curated record. Lineage: Eukaryota; Metazoa; Arthropoda; Insecta; Hemiptera; Aphididae.